UUGGAGGGCAAGUCUGGUGCCAGCAGCCGCGGUAAUUCCAGCUCCAAUAGCGUAUAUUAAAGUUGUUGUAGUUAAAAAGCUCGUAGUUGAAUUUCGGGAUCAAGGAAUCGGUCAUGCCUUGGUAUGUACUGGUUUUAUUGGUUCUCACCUUCUAAAGAACCAUAAUGUCAUUUAUUUGAUGUUAUGGGGAAUUAGGACUGUUACCUUGAAAAAAUUAGAGUGUUUAAAGCAAGCUUACGCUUGAAUACAUUAGCAUGGAAUAAUGAAAUAGGACAUCCGAUUCUAUUUUGUUGGUUUCUAGGAUCGAUGUAAUGAUUAAUAGGGAUAGUUGGGGGCAUUAGUAUUCAAUUGUCAGAGGUGAAAUUCUUGGAUUUAUUGAAGACUAACUACUGCGAAAGCAUUUGCCAAGGAUGUUUUCAUUAAUCAAGAACGAAAGUUAGGGGAUCGAAGACGAUCAGAUACCGUCGUAGUCUUAACCAUAAACUAUGCCGACUAGGGAUCGGAUGAUGUUUAUUUUUUAGUGACUCAUUCGGCGCCUUACGGGAAAC
This 548-nucleotide ribosomal RNA is filed under the name uncultured Glomeromycotina. RNAcentral's name for it is "SSU rRNA". It matches the Rfam family "Eukaryotic small subunit ribosomal RNA", at positions 548 to 1098 of the family's 1831-position model. Lineage: Eukaryota; Fungi; Glomeromycota. The record is from RNAcentral.